Molecule: ribosomal RNA, 303 nt
Filed under: uncultured bacterium
Lineage: Bacteria
Description: partial 16S ribosomal RNA
Rfam family: Bacterial small subunit ribosomal RNA
Source: RNAcentral
AGCAGUCGCCGCGGUAAUACGUAGGGUGCAAGCGUUAAUCGGAAUUACUGGGCGUAAAGCGUGCGCAGGCGGUUUGUUAAGACAGAUGUGAAAUCCCCGGGCUCAACCUGGGAACUGCAUUUGUGACUGGCGAGCUAGAGUAUGGCAGAGGGGGGUAGAAUUCCACGUGUAGCAGUGAAAUGCGUAGAGAUGUGGAGGAAUACCGAUGGCGAAGGCAGCCCCCUGGGCCAAUACUGACGCUCAUGCACGAAAGCGUGGGGAGCAAACAGGAUUAGAUACCCCCGUAGUCCCUGUCUCUUAUAA